ACGGGGGGUGCUAGCGUUAUUCGGAAUCAUUGGGCGUAAAGGGCGCGUAGGCGGUCUUUUAAGUCAGAUGUGAAAGCCCUCGGCUUAACUGAGGAAGUGCAUUUGAUACUAAAAGACUUGAGUAUGGGAGAGGGAAGCGGAAUUCCUGGUGUAGCGGUGAAAUGCGUAGAUAUCAGGAGGAACACCGGUGGCGAAGGCGGCUUCCUGGACCAAUACUGACGCUGAGGCGCGAAGGCGUGGGGAGCAAACAG
RNAcentral lists this ribosomal RNA (251 nucleotides) under uncultured prokaryote. RNAcentral describes it as "partial 16S rRNA". It matches the Rfam family "Bacterial small subunit ribosomal RNA", at positions 525 to 775 of the family's 1533-position model. The record is from RNAcentral.